Molecule: long non-coding RNA, 267 nt
Filed under: Salmo salar (Atlantic salmon)
Lineage: Eukaryota; Metazoa; Chordata; Actinopteri; Salmoniformes; Salmonidae
Description: lncRNA (ENSSSAG00000106639.1)
Source: RNAcentral
CUCUCUCUCUGUCUACAUAAAGUUAGUAACUGUAGUUUGAGCGUCACUGUUCAUCUCAAUGCUCCUGUUUUCAGAUGACUUGGCACCCUGCAUCAACCCUCUGGAAUCUUCCGUUUUAUGUGAAGGGUGUAAAUGGUGAAUGGCUACAACUUCUAUUUUUAGUGACUAUGGAUGUUAUGAUGUAAAAAUAGAAUGAACGUUGUCAGAAAGUGGUGGGGAGGUUCAGCUGUAGUCUAACUAAAUCUAUACUGGAGUAGUGUGGGGAGG